This 358-nucleotide long non-coding RNA is filed under the name Cyanistes caeruleus (blue tit). Its description in RNAcentral is "lncRNA (ENSCCEG00000006036.1)". Lineage: Eukaryota; Metazoa; Chordata; Aves; Passeriformes; Paridae. The record is from RNAcentral.
GUAAUGUCUUAGAUGCUGAAACACAAAGCAAGCUAUACCUGACCAGAGGAUAUUUGCUGUCACAAUGAAUAAAUUGUGACUCUCUCACCAUCUCGGCUGCUGGUAGCUCAAAGAGGAGGAACAUCAGGAGAGAUGAACAAACAGAAAAGAUGUGUGGCUUCCACCAGGAGCCUCUGAGCCCAUUUCAAUUUCUUGCCUGCUCAAGAAAAAGGAUAAAGAAUGACCAGCACCUGAAUUUCUGAAUGAUGUGAGAAGCAAGACCUGAUCCUACCUCUUCCUGCCACAAUGGGAAGCUCAGUAAGUCCCUCUCCAGAUAUUUGCUGUGAGUAAGCACCACCACCUCAGGGAUGGGAAAUUU